AGUACUUACUCGUUUAUAGAGGAUUAUUGAAGAAGAGAAAGAAAUUAAAAACAAUGAUUAAUAAACAGAACUUUAUUUUGGCAGCUUUGGUUGUAGUUCUUCUAUUCUCAACAGGAAUGGCUAGAGUUGUACUUACAACAGAGGUCUGCUUUGACACUUGUGCCAAAAUCCCUGAUUGUGAAACAUUUUGCACUAAGCGAGGCUAUCUGACAUCGCAAUGUCGUACAAAGGAAAAUAAUGUUUUAAUUUGUUGCUGUUACGAUCUUUAGGAAGCUAAAGCUUUUCUUCUUGUUUGAAGAAAACAUUAUGUUUCAUAGAUAUAAGUAACCUUCAUUAGAAGGAAAUAAAAUAUGAAUUGUUAUCAAGAAA
This is a non-coding RNA of Cicer arietinum (chickpea), 369 nucleotides long. The record is from RefSeq and is a predicted model, not a curated record. Lineage: Eukaryota; Viridiplantae; Streptophyta; Magnoliopsida; Fabales; Fabaceae.